This is a long non-coding RNA of Bradysia coprophila, 165 nucleotides long. The record is from RefSeq and is a predicted model, not a curated record. Lineage: Eukaryota; Metazoa; Arthropoda; Insecta; Diptera; Sciaridae.
UGCAUUUCUUUCGUAAAGACAGUAGUCAUGAUUUGUUAGUGUGAAUAAAAGCGCACAACAUACAAUCGUACACGCAUACAUCUUUGAAAUUUGGAGGCUAAUUUGACGUUAGUAGAAUGAGUGUUCGAGCUAGUAGCAGUGCUACGAUAAUUGUUAACGUCAAUU